GUGGGGAAUAUUGCGCAAUGGGCGAAAGCCUGACGCAGCGACGCCGCGUGAGGGAUGAAGGUUUUCGGAUCGUAAACCUCUGUCAGAAGGGAAGAAACUACGUUGUGCUAAUCAGCAGCGUACUGACGGUACCUUCAAAGGAAGCACCGGCUAACUCCGUGCCAGCAGCCGCGGUAAUACGGAGGGUGCAAGCGUUAAUCGGAAUUACUGGGCGUAAAGCGCACGUAGGCUGUAGUGUAAGUCAUGGGUGAAAUCCCACGGCUCAACCGUGGAACUGCCUUUGAUACUGCACAACUUGAAUCCGGGAGAGGGUGGCGGAAGUCCAGGUGUAGGAGUGAAAUCCGUAGAUAUCCGGAGGAACACCGGUGGCGAAGGCGGCCACCUGGACAGGUACUGACGCUGAGGCGCGAAAGCGUGGGGAGCAAACAGGAUUAGAUACCCCGGUAGUCC
RNAcentral lists this ribosomal RNA (450 nucleotides) under uncultured bacterium. RNAcentral's name for it is "partial 16S ribosomal RNA". It matches the Rfam family "Bacterial small subunit ribosomal RNA", at positions 354 to 796 of the family's 1533-position model. The record is from RNAcentral.